CCCGCUGAACUUAAGCAUAUCAAUAAGCGGAGGAAAAGAAACUAACAAGGAUUCCCCUAGUAACUGCGAGUGAAGCGGGAAAAGCUCAAAUUUAAAAUCUGGUGGCCUUCAGCCAUCCGAGUUGUAAUUUAGAGAAGCGUCUUCCGCGCUGGACCGUGCACAAGUCUCCUGGAAUGGAGCGUCGUAGAGGGUGAGAAUCCCGUCUUUGGCACGGACGCACCAGGGCUUCUGUGAUGCGCUCUCGAAGAGUCGAGUUGUUUGGGAAUGCAGCUCAAAAUGGGUGGUGAACUCCAUCUAAAGCUAAAUAUUGGCGAGAGACCGAUAGCGAACAAGUACCGUGAGGGAAAGAUGAAAAGCACUUUGGAAAGAGAGUGAAACAGUACGUGAAAUUGUUGAAAGGGAAACGCUUGAAGUCAGUCGCGUCGCCCGAGACUCAGCCUCGCCUUGGCUUGGUGUACUUCUCGGCCGACGGGUCAGCAUCAAUUUUGCCCCUUGGAUAAUGGUGAGUGAAAUGUGACACCUUCACGGGUGUGUUAUAGUCUCUCGUCGCAUGCAAGGGUCGGGAUUGAGGAACUCAGCACGCGCCUUCGGGCGUCGGGGUUCGCCCACGAUACGUGCUUAGGAUGCUGGCAUAAUGGCCUUGAGCGACCCGUCUUGAAACACGG
This 665-nucleotide ribosomal RNA is filed under the name uncultured fungus. RNAcentral describes it as "eukaryotic LSU rRNA". It matches the Rfam family "Eukaryotic large subunit ribosomal RNA", at positions 24 to 664 of the family's 3401-position model. Lineage: Eukaryota; Fungi. The record is from RNAcentral.